Molecule: long non-coding RNA, 1909 nt
Filed under: Nicotiana tabacum (common tobacco)
Lineage: Eukaryota; Viridiplantae; Streptophyta; Magnoliopsida; Solanales; Solanaceae
Description: long non-coding RNA (NTAB_LNC016576)
Source: RNAcentral
CCAUGCUUACAUAUAUGACAAACAAUAAUUAUGACUUCAAUCAAUAACUCUAACAUCAACAUUCAGGCUUUUAAUCACCUAGCUGAUAAAUAACUGAGAAUGUAUUAACUAUUGAAUGCACUAUUGACUCAUCAUCAACAUAAAAAUGAACACUCCCAUCUUAACAAAACAUCCAUGUAGCUGAAGCUUUAAACAGAUCUCCCAAAAUGUAACUUAGAUGCACAAAUACCUUCCUCACACCUCACAAUAAAGUCCAUACUUAGAACACACACCUAUUAUGUACAAAGUUUUUAGCUAACUUCUAAUAUGCUGAAAGCAAAACGGGGAGGGGAAGAAAACAAAAUGAAAUAGACUUAAACAUCAUAAAACCAAUCUCCAGCAAAGCAAAAGAACAUCAACUGAGUGGCAACAACCAACGAACUUAAAACUUCAGGUGUAUUAUUCACAUGACCACAAGGGUUCAGCCUUACAUACCUGGAUACAGCCAAAAACAACAAUAUAACUUCAACAAAAAGAUGGUAAGAUCAGCAGAGUUUAAAACAACAGUAAUUAGCAUCUAACAACCAACUUAAACCAUGUUUUGAACCCAGAAACCAACAAUAUAUUCAAGCUUUUUAAAACCCAGAAAAAUGAGAACCAGCUAAUCAAUGGAACAGUAUUUGAGAUCUUUUUUUUGUGUUUUUUUUUCUAAUUCUGAAACUAUAUCAGUGUGUGUGUAUUUUUCAGUGUACUAGGUGCAGAGAAUAAUGCUGAAAAGUCUGUCUAGAGUGAAGGAAAGGGCCCUAUUUAUCUCCAAAAUUUGUUGCGUGCCUUCCAAGUCAAGGAAUGAAUUUUUUUCCAAAAUACCCCUCACAAAGCAUCUUUUCUAAUAGCAAGCAGAUAACUGGCCAUUUCUAAUUAGCUUCAACAACUUGUACUGGUAGAAUAGCACCAUCUGUCCAUGCCACAGAACAUUCUAGAUACCUUAUCCCAUUUCUAAACUCCCAAAUUAACCCCCUUAAGUUUUUUUACUUACAAAUGAACCCCUACAAAUCCCUAAGAAUUGAAAAAUAUGGCCAACAGAAACAAUCAACACAAAUGACAACAAACGGAUCAAAACCAAGAUUGAACAUCUAAAAAAUUAGAAAAAUAAUAAUCUUAAGACCUCCAAACUUGAAUUUGACUAAAACUAAAUUAGUCAAAACAAAUUAACAAAUUAGGAGAAUUCAAGAUGCCUAAAACUAAUAUUAAUGAAUUAUAUUAUUUAUUAUAUACCUAUUUCAAAAUUAGAUUAACCAACAGGUCCAAAUAAAAUAAGCAAUGAUAACUAAAACUAAAGAGAAGCUUGACAUGCACUAGAGAACUAGGUUGGUUGACAUGAAAAAAAACAAAUAAAACCCUAACGGCCCAAAGAAUAUGACCUCCUGAACUACUUAGUUUAGUCAUUGAAAUGACGAACUAGGAAACAAGAUGAACAAAACAAACAGAAAAAGAAAAAGAAGAAGAUAAACAAGAGAAUGAUAACAUAAGAGAAGAAAAGAAAAAAAAAAGACAGGAGGAAUGUACCUAUAUCGGAACGUGAAUCAAAUGGCUUAAAGGGAACUGGACGCCUCUGAUUUAAGUCGUAAUAGGUGUUAGGCGACUGUUCUCGUCGGGAACAGACGGAUAACACCCAUUUUCUAGCUUAAAUCUUCUUUGGAAAAAAAACCAAUUUGUGACCUAGGCUUAGCAUGCUCUCAGAUCCGAAAUUGAAGCAAUUUGGGGAAGAAUCGAAAGGAUUGGCUUGGUAAUUUAUAAAGAAGAGGAGGUGAGGAAUGUUUGGUGUAAUUUUGGAGUGAUUUAGGGGUGUUUAUGGAGUUGCCACCGACAGAGGGUUUCAAGGCGGCAGUCUCUAAGGUUUUGAGAGACGGGGAGGUGAGGAGAUGGAAUG